GCCGCCGUAGCUCAGCGGGUUAGAGCGCCGGACUCAUACGGCGUUUAACCGAAAUCGAAAAUGCCUGAGCAAUCCGGAGGUCCCGGGUUCAAAUCCCGGCGGCGGCA
Molecule: transfer RNA, 107 nt
Filed under: Caldisphaera lagunensis DSM 15908
Lineage: Archaea; Thermoproteati; Thermoproteota; Thermoprotei; Acidilobales; Acidilobaceae
Rfam family: tRNA
About the family: Transfer RNA (tRNA) molecules are approximately 80 nucleotides in length. Their secondary structure includes four short double-helical elements and three loops (D, anti-codon, and T loops).
Source: Rfam by way of RNAcentral